GACGAACGCUUUCUUCUUUCCUAAUACAUGCAAGUAGAACGCUGAAGGAGGAGCUUGCUUCUCUGGAUGAGUUGCGAACGGGUGAGUAACGCGUAGGUAACCUGCCUGGUAGCGGGGGAUAACUAUUGGAAACGAUAGCUAAUACCGCAUAAGAGUAGAUGUUGCAUGACAUUUGCUUAAAAGGUGCAAUUGCAUCACUACCAGAUGGACCUGCGUUGUAUUAGCUAGUUGGUGGGGUAACGGCUCACCAAUUCGACGAUACAUAGCCGACCUGAGAGGGUGAUCGGCCACACUGGGACUGAGACACGGCCCAGACUCCUACGGGAGGCAGCAGUAGGGAAUCUUCGGCAAUGGACGGAAGUCUGACCGAGCAACGCCGCGUGAGUGAAGAAGGUUUUCGGAUCGUAAAGCUCUGUUGUAAGAGAAGAACGAGUGUGAGAGUGGAAAGUUCACACUGUGACGGUAUCUUACCAGAAAGGGACAGCUAACUACGUG
This 495-nucleotide ribosomal RNA is filed under the name uncultured bacterium. Its description in RNAcentral is "partial 16S ribosomal RNA". It matches the Rfam family "Bacterial small subunit ribosomal RNA", at positions 28 to 507 of the family's 1533-position model. The record is from RNAcentral.